This is a long non-coding RNA of Dermacentor andersoni, 1432 nucleotides long. RefSeq lists it as uncharacterized. The record is from RefSeq and is a predicted model, not a curated record. NCBI's taxonomy places the organism in Eukaryota, Metazoa, Arthropoda, Arachnida, Ixodida, Ixodidae.
CAGCAACACGGCCAAGAUGUUCAGGGCCAUCUUCACCGCGGGAACGUCGGGACGAGCUCUGCGACGUAGGAUCGAACGCGAGGUCUGGUCCAGAGCUUGUCGGCGCGUCGGCUUGAACCCUCUCCGUGUUGCGGCGCGCGGAAGCAGCCGAACACGUCGCAGUGCGGCGGCAGCCAGUGCUUCUCGAACGCCAUGGCGGACACCAGCGAGCCGAUGACGAGCGCGGCGAGGCUUAGCACCAUGCAGGCCAGCCGGUAAGGAAACUGCUGGGCCAGCUCGGGAUCGUGCAGUGGCACGCGUAUCGACGUCGUCGAGCCCAUGGACGGCUCGCCGCACAACCAGCGCGAGUAGGCACCCAGCGCGAACGCUGCGGGAGGCCGUCCCAAACGACCAUUCAUGUCGAAACAUGGCCUCCGAGAUCGGAUGGCGAGCGAGCGCCUCCAGACCUCGGAGCUCCUCUUUUGAAACUUCGAAAUUUCCGCGCUGACUGAGUGGAUGACUGAGUGCGGCCAAUCGGUGAAACGAGCAAAUGAUUGCUGCAACACUUAAACACAAAGGGAACGCUUCUUUGUCGAAUCACUGCUCUCUGUCGCAUUCCUGUCUUCGUGCCACAUAUGACAUCUUGUCUGCACCGCUUUCUACAUACGCUGAUAAAAUUUGGCCUCGCUAACUCGUGGCCCCCGUUCGGAGAAGAUAGUAGUAUUCAAAGAAUAUGUCAGAGAACCACCAACCAGUGCAAAAUUUUAUCUUCGUCCGCUCCGCGUUCCGCAUUCACUGUGCUUCACUAUGUUUAUAUACUAAGAUAGCUAGCUCAGUGAUAAAAAGGUGCCAUUUCGGUGAGUUGUUACACAUGUACGGUGAAAAACAACGCACCUUCAUACGGACGCUGAAAGAAAAGACAUACACCGGCGUUUACCUAGCGAGUGUCAGCCACCUUAUGAUGAUGAUCUUUUGUUGGAAUCACCUAUGUUCAGUCGGCGUCACCCUUGUGUAGAGCGCUGGAACGGCGGCCUCCGGGGCCCUCCUGAGGCAGCCAGCGACGUCUAGCUAGCUGCUGGGCACGUUUUGGCCCAGCAACUGCUGUUAGACGUCAUUGGCUGGCUCCUGAGCGCUCCGGCAGCCGCCGUUCCCCCGCUUAACUGGUCAGCAAUCCAGACAACCAUCAGCUUUAAAUCGCAGCGGUUCUAUACGGGGCUGGCUCGAUGAAUAUACGGGCACUGCAUUACAGUUUGCUGAAUUGUCUCGGGACUUUUGUUGCAGCAGGCAUAUGCUUCGUCCUGUUGCAGAAGUUAGUGUCACACAGCACCACUCACGGCCAUGGCGGCACAUGUGGAACAUGCAGCACAGCUUCUGAGAUUUGCGUGCAAUCUUGGAGGCCAUGCAGGCAGCGUCACAGAGGCUGCAGCCUUAAUAAAGUUUUUUUUUCUAUGGU